UACAUGUUAAUGUAAAUGCAUAAGAGAUUUUGAUUUUCUAAGAUUUGGUGAAAAUCCAUUACAUGUAAA
Molecule: transfer RNA, 69 nt
Filed under: Daphnia pulex (common water flea)
Lineage: Eukaryota; Metazoa; Arthropoda; Branchiopoda; Diplostraca; Daphniidae
Description: tRNA-Gln
Source: RNAcentral